This 815-nucleotide ribosomal RNA is filed under the name uncultured bacterium. RNAcentral's name for it is "bacterial SSU rRNA". It matches the Rfam family "Bacterial small subunit ribosomal RNA", at positions 8 to 796 of the family's 1533-position model. The record is from RNAcentral.
AGAGUUUGAUCAUGGCUCAGAACGAACGCUGGCGGCGUGGAUAAGACAUGCAAGUCGAGCGCUGAUUACAGGGUAGCAAUAUUCUGUGGUCGGAGCGGCGCAAGGGUGCGUAACACGUGGGUAAUCUGCCAUGAAGUUUGGAAUAACUUGCUGAAAGGCGAGCUAAUACCGGAUGUGAAAAUCGGAAGGCAUCUUUUGAUUUUCAAAGCUGGGGACCGUAAGGCCUGGCGCUUCAUGAUGAGCCCGCGGCCUAUCAGCUAGUUGGUGAGGUAACGGCUCACCAAGGCUAAGACGGGUAGCUGGUCUGAGAGGACGACCAGCCACACUGGAACUGAGACACGGUCCAGACACCUACGGGUGGCAGCAGUCGAGAAUUUUUCACAAUGGGCGCAAGCCUGAUGGAGCGACGCCGCGUGGGGGAUGAAUGGCUUCGGCCCGUAAACCCCUGUCAUUUGCGAGCAAACGUUGUUAUUUAAAAGAUGACAAUUUGAUAGUAGCGAAAGAGGAAGGGACGGCUAACUCUGUGCCAGCAGCCGCGGUAAUACAGAGGUCCCGAGCGUUGUUCGGAUUCACUGGGCGUAAAGGGUGCGUAGGUGGCGAGGUAAGUCGGAUGUGAAAGCUCGGAGCUCAACUCCGAAAUGGCAUUGGAAACUACCUUGCUCGAGGGUUGGAGGGGGGACUGGAAUGCUUGGUGUAGCAGUGAAAUGCGUAGAUAUCAAGCGGAACACCAGUGGCGAAGGCGAGUCCCUGGACAACUCCUGACACUGAGGCACGAAAGCUAGGGGAGCAAACAGGAUUAGAUACCCUAGUAGUCC